AGAACGAACGCUGGCGGCGUGGAUAAGACAUGCAAGUCGAACGCUGACAUUUAGGUAGCAAUAUUUGAAUGUCGGAGUGGCGCAAGGGUGUGUAACACGUGGGCAAUCUGCCGUGAAGACUGGAAUAACUCGCUGAAAGGCGAGCUAAUACCGGAUGUGAACGCAAGUUCAAAGUUGGGGACCGCAAGGCCUGACGCUUUACGAUGAGCCCGCGGCCUAUCAGCUAGUUGGUGAGGUAACGGCUCACCAAGGCUAAGACGGGUAGC
Molecule: ribosomal RNA, 266 nt
Filed under: uncultured bacterium
Lineage: Bacteria
Description: partial small subunit ribosomal RNA
Rfam family: Bacterial small subunit ribosomal RNA
Source: RNAcentral